RNAcentral lists this ribosomal RNA (468 nucleotides) under uncultured bacterium. RNAcentral describes it as "partial 16S ribosomal RNA". It matches the Rfam family "Bacterial small subunit ribosomal RNA", at positions 28 to 507 of the family's 1533-position model. The record is from RNAcentral.
GACGAACGCUGGCGGCGUGCUUAACACAUGCAAGUCGAACGGAAAGGCCCUGCUUUUGUGGGGUGCUCGAGUGGCGAACGGGUGAGUAACACGUGAGUAACCUGCCCUUGACUUUGGGAUAACUUCAGGAAACUGGGGCUAAUACCGGAUAGGAGCUCCUGCUGCAUGGUGGGGGUUGGAAAGUUUCGGCGGUUGGGGAUGGACUCGCGGCUUAUCAGCUUGUUGGUGGGGUAGUGGCUUACCAAGGCUUUGACGGGUAGCCGGCCUGAGAGGGUGACCGGCCACAUUGGGACUGAGCUACGGCCCAGACUCCUACGGGAGGCAGCAGUGGGGAAUAUUGCACAAUGGGCGGCAGCCUGAUGCAGCAACGCCGCGUGCGGGAUGACGGCCUUCGGGUUGUAAACCGCUUUCGCCUGUGACGAAGCGUGAGUGACGGUAAUGGGUAAAGAAGCACCGGCUAACUACGUG